UUAAAAACAUGUCUGACAUUUAUUGGUAAAAACCAAUAGAAGGCAGCCAGUGCAGAGACUUUAAAACCAGUGUAAUGUGUCCUCUCCGUCAGGUCUUGGUCAGUACGCGUGCUGCAGCAUUCUGUAUGUUUUACAGUACAGAGACUUUAAAACCAGUGUAAUGUGUCCUCUCCGUCUGGUCUUGGUCAGUACGCGUGCUGCAGCAUUCUGUAUGUUUUACAGUACAGAGACUUUAAAACCAGUGUAAUGUGUUCUCUCCGUCUGGUCUUGGUCAGUACGCGUGCUGCAGCAUUCUGUAUGUUUUACAGUACAGAGACUUUAAAACCAGUGUAAUGUGUUCUCUCCGUCUGGUCUUGGUCAGUACGCGUGCUGCAGCAUUCUGUACGUUUUGCAGUUGACCAAUGGCUUUCUUGAGUAGACCUGACAGGAGAGCAUUACAGUAGUCAAGCCUGCUUGUAAUAAAAGCAUGGGAGAGUCUCUCUGUAUCAGCCUGAGAGAGAAACGGCCGCACCUUGGCAAUGUUCCUCAGGUGGUAAAAAGCUAUUAUGGUCACAUUCCUAACGUGUGAUUCAAAAUGAAGUUCAGAAUCUAAACUGACACUUCAGUUUUUUAACUGGUGUUUAAUUUUUUAUUGCAAGGCCAGAUUCUCUCUCCGUGUUUCGGCUCCAACAAUAAAUACCUCCGUCUUGCCUUUAUUUAGGAAGUUGUGACAUUCAUUUAGGAAGUCGAGAGUCAUCCAAGCAUUUAAAUCUUGAAUCAUUUAUCAGUGGAGCUAAAAUCCUCUGGUGACACAGAAAGGUAAAGCUGUGUAUCAUCUGCGUAGCAGUGAAAAUCAAUGCUGUGCUUUCUGAUAACGCUGCCAAGGGGUAACAUAUAUAAACUGAUCAGUACCUGACCCAAAAUCGAACCGUGUGGAAUAUCUAUAGUAUUUUCUCUGAGUUAUGUUCCCCAAGGGUGACAAAAAAACUCUGGAGCAGUUAAAUAGGUCCUAAACCAACAUAGAAUUGGCCCAGAGAGGCCAACCCACCUUUCCAAUCUGCCCAGAAGGACAUCACGGUUGAACGGUGUCAAAUAAAGCACUUAAAUCCAUGAGUACAAGGACAGAGAGCUGUUUGGCAUCUGCCUUGGCUUUAAGAUCAUUUAUCACUUUUACUAAGGCUGUCGCUGUGCUGUGGUGGCCAUGAAAACCAGAUUGCACUUAAAAAAGUACUUUUCUGUUGAAUUCAUUUAAAUCCAGAAUUUUACUUAAGAAAGGAGGGUUGGAGAUUGGCCGAAAAUUGCCAUUAACUGAACAAUCUAGAUUCCUUUUCUUCAGAAGGGGUUUCACAAUAGCAGUUUUUAGCGUAGCGGGGGAAGUGCCUGUCAACAGGGAGUGAUUAACAACAGCUUGUAAUUAACAAGUAUUUUGAAGAAGGUGGAGGGGAUAGGCAGGUAGAAGGUGGAGGGGAUAGGUAGGUAGAAGGUGGAGGGGAUAGGUAGGUAGAAGGUGGAGGGGAUAGGUAGGUAGAAGGUGGAGGGGAUAGGCAGGUAGAAGGCAGGUAGAAGGUGGAGGGGAUAGGCAGGUAGAAGGCAGGUAGAAGGUGGAGGGGAUAGGCAGGUAGAAGGUGGAGGGGAUAGGUAGGUAGAAGGCAGGUAGAAGAUGGAGGGGAUAGGCAGGUAGAAGGCAGGUAGAAGGUGGAGGGGAUAGGCAG
Molecule: long non-coding RNA, 1691 nt
Organism: Oncorhynchus tshawytscha (Chinook salmon)
Lineage: Eukaryota; Metazoa; Chordata; Actinopteri; Salmoniformes; Salmonidae
Source: Ensembl